UGCCUCAGUAACGGCGAGUGAAGCGGCAACAGCUCAAAUUUGAAAUCUGGCUCUUUUAGGGUCCGAGUUGUAAUUUGUAGAAGAUGCUUCGAGUGUAGCUCCGGUCUAAGUUCCUUGGAACAGGACGUCAUAGAGGGUGAGAAUCCCGUAUGUGACUGGCUGCUUUCGCUCAUGUGAAGCUCUUUCGACGAGUCGAGUUGUUUGGGAAUGCAGCUCAAAAUGGGUGGUAAAUUUCAUCUAAAGCUAAAUAUUGGCCAGAGACCGAUAGCGCACAAGUAGAGUGAUCGAAAGAUGAAAAGCACUUUGGAAAGAGAGUUAAACAGUACGUGAAAUUGUUGAAAGGGAAGCGCUUGCAACCAGACUUGCACUUGGUCGAUCAUCCGAGGUUCUCCCCGGUGCACUCGAUCUCGUUCAGGCCAGCAUCGGUUUAGGUGGUGGGAUAAAGGCCUUGGGAAUGUAGCUUCUUUCGGGGAGUGUUAUAGCCCUCGGUGCAAUGCCGCCUACCUGGACCGAGGACCGCGCUUCGGCUAGGAUGCUGGCGUAAUGGUUGUAAGCGACCCGUCUUGAAACACGGACCAAGGAGUCUAACAUCUAUGCGAGUGUUUGGGUGUCAAACCCAUACGCGUAAUGAAAGUGAACGGAGGUGAGAACCCUUAAGGGUGCAUCAUCG
Molecule: ribosomal RNA, 670 nt
Filed under: Fuscolachnum misellum
Lineage: Eukaryota; Fungi; Ascomycota; Leotiomycetes; Helotiales; Hyphodiscaceae
Description: eukaryotic LSU rRNA
Rfam family: Eukaryotic large subunit ribosomal RNA
Source: RNAcentral